AAUAUUUUACUAUGGGGGCAACCCUGAUCCCGCCAUGCCGCGCGUGUGAAGAAGGUGUUCGGAGUGUAAAGCACUUUAAGUUGGGAGGAAGGGCUUUAGGUUAAUACCCUGAAGUUUUGACGUUACCAACAGAAUAAGCACCGGCUAACUCUGUGCCAGCCGCCGCGGUAAUACAGAGUGUGCAAGCGUUAAUCGGAAUUACUGGGCGUAAGGCGCGCGUAGGUGGUUCAGUAAGAUGGGUGAGAUAUCCCCGGGCAUAACCUGGGAACUGCUUUCAUAACUGCUGAGCUAGUGUACGGAGGAGGGUAGUGGAAUUUCCUGUGUCGCGGUGAAAUGCGUAGUUAUAGAAAGGAACACCAGUGGCGAAGGCGACUACCUAGACUGAUACUGACACUGAGGUGCGAAAGCGUGGGGAGCAAAC
This 421-nucleotide ribosomal RNA is filed under the name uncultured bacterium. RNAcentral's name for it is "partial 16S ribosomal RNA". It matches the Rfam family "Bacterial small subunit ribosomal RNA", at positions 360 to 773 of the family's 1533-position model. The record is from RNAcentral.